This 404-nucleotide ribosomal RNA is filed under the name Verrucomicrobiota bacterium. RNAcentral's name for it is "Verrucomicrobia bacterium partial 16S ribosomal RNA". It matches the Rfam family "Bacterial small subunit ribosomal RNA", at positions 355 to 776 of the family's 1533-position model. Lineage: Bacteria; Pseudomonadati; Verrucomicrobiota. The record is from RNAcentral.
UGGGGAAUAUUGCACAAUGGGGGAAACCCUGAUGCAGCGACGCCGCGUGAGCGAUGAAGGCUUUCGAGUCGUAAAGCUCUGUCCUAUGGGAAGAUAAUGACGGUACCAUAGAAGAAAGCCCCGGCUAACUUCGUGCCAGCAGCCGCGGUAAUACGAAGGGGGCUAGCGUUGUUCGGAUUUACUGGGCGUAAAGCGCACGUAGGCGGACUUUUAAGUCAGGGGUGAAAUCCCGGGGCUCAACCCCGGAACUGCCUUUGAUACUGGAAGUCUUGAGUAUGGUAGAGGUGAGUGGAAUUCCGAGUGUAGAGGUGAAAUUCGUAGAUAUUCGGAGGAACACCAGUGGCGAAGGCGGCUCACUGGACCAUUACUGACGCUGAGGUGCGAAAGCGUGGGGAGCAAACAGG